UGGGGAAUUUUGGACAAUGGGCGAAAGCCUGAUCCAGCAAUGCCGCGUGUGUGAAGAAGGCCUUCGGGUUGUAAAGCACUUUUGUCCGGAAAGAAAUCCUUGGCUCUAAUACAGUCGGGGGAUGACGGUACCGGAAGAAUAAGCACCGGCUAACUACGUGCCAGCAGCCGCGGUAAUACGUAGGGUGCAAGCGUUAAUCGGAAUUACUGGGCGUAAAGCGUGCGCAGGCGGUUUGCUAAGACCGAUGUGAAAUCCCCGGGCUCAACCUGGGAACUGCAUUGGUGACUGGGCAGGCUAGAGUAUGGCAGAGGGGGGUAGAAUUCCACGUGUAGCAGUGAAAUGCGUAGAGAUGUGGAGGAAUACCGAUGGCGAAGGCAGCCCCCUGGGCCAAUACUGACGCUCAUGCACGAAAGCGUGGGGAGCAAAACAGGAUUAGAUACCCUGGUAGUCCACGCCCUAAAACGAUGUCAACUAGUUGUUGGGGAUUCAUUUCCUUAGUAACGUAGCUAACGCGUGAAGUUGACCGCUGGGGAGUACGUCGCAAGAUUAAAACUUAAAUGAAUUG
RNAcentral lists this ribosomal RNA (565 nucleotides) under uncultured bacterium. Its description in RNAcentral is "partial 16S ribosomal RNA". It matches the Rfam family "Bacterial small subunit ribosomal RNA", at positions 355 to 912 of the family's 1533-position model. The record is from RNAcentral.